Molecule: ribosomal RNA, 1530 nt
Filed under: Escherichia coli 3-073-06_S3_C1
Lineage: Bacteria; Pseudomonadati; Pseudomonadota; Gammaproteobacteria; Enterobacterales; Enterobacteriaceae
Description: bacterial SSU rRNA
Rfam family: Bacterial small subunit ribosomal RNA
Source: RNAcentral
AGAGUUUGAUCAUGGCUCAGAUUGAACGCUGGCGGCAGGCCUAACACAUGCAAGUCGAACGGUAACAGGAAACAGCUUGCUGUUUCGCUGACGAGUGGCGGACGGGUGAGUAAUGUCUGGGAAACUGCCUGAUGGAGGGGGAUAACUACUGGAAACGGUAGCUAAUACCGCAUAACGUCGCAAGACCAAAGAGGGGGACCUUCGGGCCUCUUGCCAUCGGAUGUGCCCAGAUGGGAUUAGCUUGUUGGUGGGGUAACGGCUCACCAAGGCGACGAUCCCUAGCUGGUCUGAGAGGAUGACCAGCCACACUGGAACUGAGACACAGUCCAGACUCCUACGGGAGGCAGCAGUGGGGAAUAUUGCACAAUGGGCGCAAGCCUGAUGCAGCCAUGCCGCGUGUAUGAAGAAGGCCUUCGGGUUGUAAAGUACUUUCAGCGGGGAGGAAGGGAGUAAAGUUAAUACCUUUGCUCAUUGACGUUACCCGCAGAAGAAGCACCGGCUAACUCCGUGCCAGCAGCCGCGGUAAUACGGAGGGUGCAAGCGUUAAUCGGAAUUACUGGGCGUAAAGCGCACGCAGGCGGUUUGUUAAGUCAGAUGUGAAAUCCCCGGGCUCAACCUGGGAACUGCAUCUGAUACUGGCAAGCUUGAGUCUCGUAGAGGGGGGUAGAAUUCCAGGUGUAGCGGUGAAAUGCGUAGAGAUCUGGAGGAAUACCGGUGGCGAAGGCGGCCCCCUGGACGAAGACUGACGCUCAGGUGCGAAAGCGUGGGGAGCAAACAGGAUUAGAUACCCUGGUAGUCCACGCCGUAAACGAUGUCGACUUGGAGGUUGUGCCCUUGAGGCGUGGCUUCCGGAGCUAACGCGUUAAGUCGACCGCCUGGGGAGUACGGCCGCAAGGUUAAAACUCAAAUGAAUUGACGGGGGCCCGCACAAGCGGUGGAGCAUGUGGUUUAAUUCGAUGCAACGCGAAGAACCUUACCUGGUCUUGACAUCCACGGAAGUUUUCAGAGAUGAGAAUGUGCCUUCGGGAACCGUGAGACAGGUGCUGCAUGGCUGUCGUCAGCUCGUGUUGUGAAAUGUUGGGUUAAGUCCCGCAACGAGCGCAACCCUUAUCCUUUGUUGCCAGCGGUCCGGCCGGGAACUCAAAGGAGACUGCCAGUGAUAAACUGGAGGAAGGUGGGGAUGACGUCAAGUCAUCAUGGCCCUUACGACCAGGGCUACACACGUGCUACAAUGGCGCAUACAAAGAGAAGCGACCUCGCGAGAGCAAGCGGACCUCAUAAAGUGCGUCGUAGUCCGGAUUGGAGUCUGCAACUCGACUCCAUGAAGUCGGAAUCGCUAGUAAUCGUGGAUCAGAAUGCCACGGUGAAUACGUUCCCGGGCCUUGUACACACCGCCCGUCACACCAUGGGAGUGGGUUGCAAAAGAAGUAGGUAGCUUAACCUUCGGGAGGGCGCUUACCACUUUGUGAUUCAUGACUGGGGUGAAGUCGUAACAAGGUAACCGUAGGGGAACCUGCGGUUGGAUCACCU